GUCACAUUUCUGGUGAGCCAAUGGCUGUAAUGGGGUUGGACUAAUUAGAGGCAGGUGUAAUUGAUUGCACUGAUACGCUAGUUUGUUUAUAGUUCACACUACAAACACUGCUUUGUUAUUUUGUCUCUCUGUGCAGGCCAGGGCCUAUUUUAUGUCACACCCUGAAGGCAGCUGAGUUGCAGAGGCUGGAAUGACCACUGGCUAUCUACUUACAGGGUGGUCGGUCUCAGAGGACAACUGCUAACCCUGUUGAAGUCAACGUGUGGAGUGCAACUGGCGUAGUGGCAUAGCUGGCUCUGGCCUUGGACUGUGUGUUUUUACUUAAUCCGCAUAUGAGACACUGGACUGUUUUAUCUUUUAUCUUUUGAUUAUUGUGUUAAUAAAUUACCUUUUAGAAUUUUA
Long non-coding RNA from Oreochromis niloticus (Nile tilapia), 402 nucleotides. RefSeq lists it as uncharacterized. The transcript is spliced from 2 exons. The record is from RefSeq and is a predicted model, not a curated record. Lineage: Eukaryota; Metazoa; Chordata; Actinopteri; Cichliformes; Cichlidae.